CACAGGCAAAACCCUCAUCAUUUAGCAUAUUUACAAGGAAAGAUCUUCCAUCAUCAAGACCCCCGGCACCCAGUUCACGCUCUCGUUGCUGCCAAUAGGAGGAAGAUACAGUGCAGAACAGGCCCUACCCACCCUUCGAGCCAUGAUGCCUAGCAACCCACCUGUUUAACCCCAGCCUAAUCACAGGACAAUUGACAAUGACCAGUUAAUCUACCAGCCUUUACGUCUUUGGACUGUGGGAGAGAUACGUUGGAAAUGGAAGCAAUGUUUUCAGUGCUUUCGUGGCUAUCUCAGGAUAUUCAGCCUUGACUUUGAUCCAGAUUGCCAGCAGAGAUGUUAUGUCAAACAUACUUUUCAGCCCGCCGUCAUCUGCAAGCUCGAGGAGCUGCUCUUCUUCCCGCGCUGACAUGGAUGACGCGUGUGUAAUUACCUCGUGUGUGUUUAAGUUCAACAGUGGGCGUGAGAGGGAAUGAGGAAAGGUGCAGCUGACUCAUAUCGCCAAAUCAUAUCGUUUCCUCGUGGCCCGGUAGCACAUGCUUUGCGGCCCGGUGGUUGGGGACUGCUGCCAUAAGGGAAUGGAGGAUAUGGAGGAGGAGGAGGACAUUUUGUAUAAAUUGGCUUCAGGAUUUGCACAACAUUUUGGGCUAAGUGGCCUCUCCAGUGUUGUACUGUUCUAUGUUUGCCAUAUUUGUCAUGGACUGCUCUGUAAAAAGUGAAUUUUCAUGGUAUCUAUGCCCAUCAUAAUAAACUUCAUAAGAUAGACUCUUGACCCCACAAUUUAGCUCAUUACAACUUUGUACUUUAUUGUUUGCCUACAAUGCAUUUUCUCUGUAGCUGUUACACUUUCUUCUGUUAUUGUUUUACCUUGUUCUACCUCAAUGCAAUGUGUAAUGGUCUGAUCUGUAUGAACAGUAUACAAAACAAACUUUUCACUGUA
Molecule: long non-coding RNA, 937 nt
Organism: Mobula hypostoma (lesser devil ray)
Lineage: Eukaryota; Metazoa; Chordata; Chondrichthyes; Myliobatiformes; Myliobatidae
Exons: 3
Source: RefSeq, a predicted model, not a curated record